Molecule: long non-coding RNA, 1774 nt
Filed under: Cricetulus griseus (Chinese hamster)
Lineage: Eukaryota; Metazoa; Chordata; Mammalia; Rodentia; Cricetidae
Description: lncRNA (ENSCGRG00015036522.1)
Source: RNAcentral
UUUCAAUUCUAAGAAAUGGAUUUGGAGAAAUGAUGAGGGAUGUCAUCACUCCUGAAAUCUCAGAUUCAUUAGCAACAGCAGCACAAGGGCUCAACACACAAACAUGAGCUGAAGACUCACAACAGUGAACUUGGUAGCUUAUCCAAUCAGCGAACGUUCUUUAAACUUGAUAAAACCCAGAGUUGGAGAGAUGUCUUAGCAGGAAAGCAUGGAUGCUGCUCUAGCAGAGGGCUGCAGCUCAGUUGUUAGAACCCACAUCUGACACCUCUGGCCUCUGAGGACUUCUGCACUCAUAUGAACAUGCUCCCACACAAACACAUGCAUGAUCAUGAUUAUGAAUAAUAAAAUAAAUCUUUAGAAGAAACAUAAACUUUAUGAAGUCUACUGCCAGCCAAGUAUUUGUAAAGAAGAGUCUACCAAUCUACCACCAGAAGUUCGGCAACAUGCAUCGAAAUGUUAAUGUUCCUGCCUUUAAUCGGGGUUCCUAAAAAGUUAGUCAAUAAGAUUAAAAAACAUCUCUAGAAAGGUACCUAACCCAACGUCAUAUAUUAUGUUAAGAACUAGAAAUGCUUCAAUGCCCAUCAAGAAAUGAUCAAGUGACUAUGACAGUGCAGGCUGGAAAUCACAAGCUACUGUGUACAUGGAGGGAUGUAGGUUACAGUUUUGCAUUGAUGUUAAAAUGUUGUCAUAAAAUCAUGUUACUAAGUGGUGGGAAACUAAUCUUUCUGCUUUCUUCCCAGCAUAGUUCCCUGAGCCUUGAAGGGGGGGACUUUGGUAAUGACAUCCCAUUCACAGAUGAGUGCUCUAACCUUUCUUACUCUCUCUGUACAUUACCAGUCCUGGGUCUCUGAGCUAAUUUCUAUCUACUGCAAGAAGCUUUUCUGCUAAGGAGUGAUUCAGGGUCACUGAUUUUUGGAACCAGCAAGCAGACCUCAGGGUUGAGAAAUUCACAGAACCCCCAAAGCACAGGAAACAAAAUUAAAAUAAGGCAAUAGGGUCACUCCAGGACUCCCCAAGCUCUGCCUGAUAUUUGGCUGUGAGACUCUACAUCUGCUCCAACAGUUGCUGGAUGAAGUCUCUCUGGUCUUUUUGAGGAGGAUUCUGCUAGGUCCCAGUCCCAGAACACUCCUCAGCUGUCAUGUGCCUUUAAGAUUUACACUCCAGUUUCCCCAUGACAUUGGGACAUGCAGUGUUUGAAUAUACAUAUAUGGUAAGAGCAUUUACUGGUCACAUUAUCUUGACCAGAAAAUGAAGAAAAGAAUGAAAGAAAAACAUGAAAAAAUAAGAAGUGUUCUCAUAUUCUCACCCAGAGGAGCACUGAUGGGUUAUGAACCCUUUCAGAGUCAUACAGCAGAGAGAAAUGGUUGCCUUGGUAACAAGACAGGCCAGUCAGUUGCGCACACUCUCCCAAGAGCUUCUAAUUUAUUCAGUAAAUGGAGGCUAGAACAGGUGGCUAACCUAGAUGAUGGCAAAAACCUUUAUCUCUGCAAUGCUGGCUUCCUCCACAUUCACUUGAAUACAAAUUCUAGUCUCUUUCCUUUAUGCUGGAAAAGUUAACAUGCCGAUGUGACUGCACAUGUCUUAGUACACAGGAAAGCUGUGAGCAUUUGUCAUUUUCUAACCACAUAUCAUAGUGUCUGAGAUUUCACAAAAUUAUGAUACCACAGCUUCGUGUCACCAGUUACUUUGAAAGUGAAAAUCACUGCAAGCCCGAUUACUGGUCUUCCAGUAAAUCAGAUAUCAUUGUGAAUUUUAAAAGGAAGAGAGAGUUUAU